RNAcentral lists this ribosomal RNA (486 nucleotides) under uncultured bacterium. RNAcentral describes it as "partial 16S ribosomal RNA". It matches the Rfam family "Bacterial small subunit ribosomal RNA", at positions 29 to 507 of the family's 1533-position model. The record is from RNAcentral.
AUUGAACGCUGGCGGCAUGCCUUACACAUGCCAGUCGAACGGCAGCACGGGUGCUUGCGCCUGGUGGCGAGUGGCGGACGGGUGAGUAAUACAUCGGAACAUGUCCUGUAGUGGGGGAGAGCCCGGCGAAAGCCGGAUUAAUACCGCAUACGAUCUACGGAUGAAAGCGGGGGCCCUUCGGGGCUCGCGCUAUAGGGUUGGCCGAUGGCUGAUUAGCUAGUUGGUGGGGUAAAGGCCUACCAAGGCGACGAUCAGUAGCUGGUCUGAGAGGACGACCAGCCACACUGGGACUGAGACACGGCCCAGACUCCUACGGGAGGCAGCAGUGGGGAAUUUUGGACAAUGGGCGAAAGCCUGAUCCAGCAAUGCCGCGUGUGUGAAGAAGGCCUUCGGGUUGUAAAGCACUUUUGUCCGGAAAGAAAUCCUUGGCCCUAAUACGGUCGGGGGAUGACGGUACCGGAAGAAUAAGCACCGGCUAACUACGUG